Tachyglossus aculeatus (Australian echidna) is the source of this 82-nucleotide non-coding RNA. NCBI's taxonomy places the organism in Eukaryota, Metazoa, Chordata, Mammalia, Monotremata, Tachyglossidae. The record is from the annotation of a RefSeq genome assembly.
GACGAGGUGGCCAAGUGGUUAAGACAUUGGACUGCUAAUCCAUUGUGCUCUGCACACAAGGGUUCAAAUCCCGUCCUCGUCG